AACCGAAAGGUCGAAAGGAGAAAUUCAAUCGCAUUUCGAUGUUGGCGUGGUACGGUUGUGUGACAGAGAACGUUUCGGCGUUUUUAGCGCCUUCCGUAUCAUUCGAUCCGGCAACGAAUGCGUGCACUUUUCUCCUGGUAGGACGUCGCAAUCCGUUGGGCGUCGGUCUAAGGUUCGCGGUGGAGCCCGGCUAUCGUUUAUCGAUGGACGAACCCGCGUUUUCCCGGCCGACUUGCUCGACGGUAUACGAAAGGUUAGAGGCCGCUGUAAUGGCGUUCGGCUCGUGGCAAGCGCGCCAGAUGCGUUGACAAUCGGACCUAGUGCCGGUUUUGACGCCUGGUGACUGUUGGUCGCGAAGUUCUCGAACAGACCUCUAGACCGAUUAGCGGCGCUAUAGCUUUGGGUACUUUCAGGACCCGUCUUGAAACACGGACCAAGGAGUCUAGCAUGUGCGCAAGUCAUUGGGAAUUAUUAAACCUAAAGGCGCAAUGAAAGUAAAGGUCUUCCUUGCGGAGAUCGAGGGAAGAUGAGCGAUCUUAAAUGAUCGCUUCGCAUUCCCGGGGCGUCUCGUUCUCAUUGCGAGAAGAGGCGCACCAAGAGCGUACACGCUGGGACCCGAAAGAUGGUGAACUAUGCCUGGUCAGGACGNANNNNGGGGAA
Molecule: ribosomal RNA, 660 nt
Filed under: Xylechinosomus valdivianus
Lineage: Eukaryota; Metazoa; Arthropoda; Insecta; Coleoptera; Curculionidae
Description: eukaryotic LSU rRNA
Rfam family: Eukaryotic large subunit ribosomal RNA
Source: RNAcentral